CAAUAGCGUAUAUUAAAGUUGUUGCGGUUAAAAAGCUCGUAGUUGGAUUUCUGCCGAGGACGUCCGGUCCGCCCUCUGGGUGAGUACAUGGCACGGCCUGGGCAUCUUCUUGGGGAACGUAUCGGCACUUGACUGUGUGGUGCGGUAUCCAGGACUUUUACUUUGAGGAAAUUAGAGUGUUUCAAGCAGGCACACGUCUUGAAUACAUUAGCAUGGAAUAAUAAGAUAGGACCUCGGUUCUAUUUUGUUGGUUUCUAGAGCUGAGGUAAUGAUUAAUAGGGAUAGUUGGGGGCAUUCGUAUUUAACUGUCAGAGGUGAAAUUCUUGGAUUUGUUAAAGACGGACUACGGCGAAAGCAUUUGCCAAGGAUGUUUUCAUUGA
This 380-nucleotide ribosomal RNA is filed under the name uncultured eukaryote. Its description in RNAcentral is "partial 18S ribosomal RNA". It matches the Rfam family "Eukaryotic small subunit ribosomal RNA", at positions 592 to 976 of the family's 1831-position model. The record is from RNAcentral.